AGGCGGCAUCGCCAAGCGGCUAAGGCAGGAGAUUGCAAAUCUCCCAUUCCCCGGUUCGAGUCCGGGUGCCGCCUCCAA
This 78-nucleotide transfer RNA is filed under the name Dictyoglomus thermophilum H-6-12. RNAcentral's name for it is "tRNA-Cys". It matches the Rfam family "tRNA". Rfam says of the family: Transfer RNA (tRNA) molecules are approximately 80 nucleotides in length. Their secondary structure includes four short double-helical elements and three loops (D, anti-codon, and T loops). Lineage: Bacteria; Pseudomonadati; Dictyoglomota; Dictyoglomia; Dictyoglomales; Dictyoglomaceae. The record is from RNAcentral.